UCCAACCAACAACGGGUAAUGUAAGCCAGCGAUUUCGUGAAGGGCUCUCAUGUGUUGCAGCAAAGGUGAUUGACCUUACACGAGGGAAAACCCCACUCUACCAGCUCUACCUUGAUGCAAGAGAGGAGGCUCUCACUGAUGACCUACCAGAUCUUGACACAAGGGCUGCACUUUUAUUCCUGCCAUACGUCUUCAAGGAGAAACUGGAUCUCUUUGUCAUACUUGGAGAGGUUCAUCCUAAAACCCC
Molecule: long non-coding RNA, 247 nt
Organism: Oreochromis aureus
Lineage: Eukaryota; Metazoa; Chordata; Actinopteri; Cichliformes; Cichlidae
Exons: 3
Source: RefSeq, a predicted model, not a curated record